CGUGUAGGCGGUGCGUUAAGUUGGACGUGAAAUCUCCCGGCCUAACUGGGAGACGCCGUGCAAUACUGGUGCACUUGAGGGCAGGAGAGGGAAGUGGAAUUCCCGGUGUAGCGGUGGAAUGCGUAGAUAUCGGGAGGAACACCCGUGGCGAAGGCGGCUUCCUGGCCUGUUCCUGACGCUGAGACGCGAAAGCUAGGGGAGCGAACGG
Molecule: ribosomal RNA, 208 nt
Filed under: uncultured bacterium
Lineage: Bacteria
Description: partial 16S ribosomal RNA
Rfam family: Bacterial small subunit ribosomal RNA
Source: RNAcentral